Molecule: non-coding RNA, 73 nt
Organism: Parelaphostrongylus tenuis
Lineage: Eukaryota; Metazoa; Nematoda; Chromadorea; Rhabditida; Metastrongylidae
Source: the annotation of a GenBank genome assembly
GCGUCGGUAGUGCAACGGUUCGAGCACGCGCCCCGGAUAAGGUUAAAUGUGGGUUCGAGUCACAACUGACGCA